UUUGCAGAUGAUGUUGAAACAGACAGGGACAUCAGAACUCUGUUACAGACAGAGUGUUGUAUGAUGAUUUGUCUUUGGGAAUCUCUCUGAUGCAUA
This 96-nucleotide small nucleolar RNA is filed under the name Genlisea aurea. RNAcentral describes it as "Small nucleolar RNA R44/J54/Z268 family". It matches the Rfam family "Small nucleolar RNA R44/J54/Z268 family". Rfam says of the family: R44, J54 and Z268 are members of the C/D class of snoRNA which contain the C (UGAUGA) and D (CUGA) box motifs. Most of the members of the box C/D family function in directing site-specific 2'-O-methylation of substrate RNAs. The record is from Rfam by way of RNAcentral. Lineage: Eukaryota; Viridiplantae; Streptophyta; Magnoliopsida; Lamiales; Lentibulariaceae.